Molecule: non-coding RNA, 68 nt
Organism: Potamilus streckersoni
Lineage: Eukaryota; Metazoa; Mollusca; Bivalvia; Unionida; Unionidae
Source: the annotation of a GenBank genome assembly
GUGGUUUGAGUGGUAAGAACGUUGCCCUGGGAUGCGGGAAGUCCCGGGUUUGAACCCCGGUCGAGUCA